RNAcentral lists this small nuclear RNA (105 nucleotides) under Castor canadensis (American beaver). The record is from RNAcentral. Lineage: Eukaryota; Metazoa; Chordata; Mammalia; Rodentia; Castoridae.
AUGCUCACUUUGGCAGCAAAUAUGCUAAAAUUGGAAUGAUACAGAGAUUAACAAUGGCCCUUACACAAGAAUGACACCCAAAUUUGUGAAGUAGUCCAUAUUAAA